CAAAUCAGGUAGGGCUACCCGCUGAACUUAAGCAUAUCAAUAAGCGGAGGAAAAGAAACUAAAUUAUAGACAAGGAUUCCCUUAGUAACGGCGAGCGAACCGGGAAGAGCUCAAAUUUGAAAUCUGGCGUCCUCAGGGCGUCCGAGUUGUAAUCUAUAGAGGCGUUUUCCGUGCCGGACCGUGUCCAAGUCCCUUGGAACAGGGUAUCAAAGAGGGUGACAAUCCCGUACUUGACACGACUACCGGUGCUCUGUGAUACGUCUUCUACGAGUCGAGUUGUUUGGGAAUGCAGCUCAAAACGGGUGGUAAACUCCAUCUAAAGCUAAAUAUUGGUGGGAGACCGAUAGCGAACAAGUACCG
RNAcentral lists this ribosomal RNA (360 nucleotides) under Candida tropicalis. RNAcentral's name for it is "partial large subunit ribosomal RNA". It matches the Rfam family "Eukaryotic large subunit ribosomal RNA", at positions 1 to 353 of the family's 3401-position model. Lineage: Eukaryota; Fungi; Ascomycota; Pichiomycetes; Serinales; Debaryomycetaceae. The record is from RNAcentral.